RNAcentral lists this ribosomal RNA (3060 nucleotides) under Pseudomonadota bacterium. RNAcentral describes it as "23S ribosomal RNA". It matches the Rfam family "Bacterial large subunit ribosomal RNA". Lineage: Bacteria; Pseudomonadati; Pseudomonadota. The record is from RNAcentral. RNAcentral also lists the same sequence under 1 other name.
UCUCAAGCUACUACGGGCACACGGUGGAUGCCUUGGCGCCAAGGGCUGAUGAAGGACGCUGCUGGCGGCGAAAGGGUCGGGGAGGUGCUAAGCAACCUUCGAUCCGGCCGUCUCCGAAUGGGGCAACCCGGCGCGGGUCAUGCCGCGUCAUCCCGUGCUGAAUUCAUAGGUGCGGGAGAGCCAGCCGGGGAACUGAAACAUCUCAGUACCCGGAGGAACAGAAAUCAAACGAGAUUCCCUGAGUAGUGGCGAGCGAAAGGGGAAGAGCCCAAACCUCGGGCGUGCCAAGCUCGCGGGCGUUGCGCUCGAGGGGUUGCAGGACGUCGCCGGACGGGACCGCGAUCCUGUCGGGAAGUUACCAAUCCGUGCGCUAGCCGAACGAUCCUGGAACGGUCGGCCAGAGCGGGUGAAAGCCCCGUAGGCGAAAGCGGACGGACUUCCUGGGCGGUGUUCCUGAGUACCACGGGACACGUGGAACCCCGUGGGAAGCCGGGAGGACCACCUUCCAAGGCUAAAUACCCUUGGCGACCGAUAGUGCACGAGUACCGUGAGGGAAAGGUGAAAAGAACCCCGGGAGGGGAGUGAAAUAGAACCUGAAACCGUGUGCCUACAAACAGUCGGAGGGCUAUGCCGGUCUUCGGACCGGAACGCCUGACGGCAUGCCUAUUGAAGAAUGAGCCGGUGAGUUGCAGCGUGUGGCGAGCUUAAGGGAGCAUAUCCUGAAGGCGGAGGGAAACCGAGUCUGAACAGGGCGCCGUUCCCGGAUGGGAAGCCGCGCAAGCGGCAGUCGCACGUUGCAGACCCGAAACCGGGUGAGCUACCCAUGGCCAGGGUGAAACGCGGCUAACCCCGCGUGGAGGCCCGAACUCAUUGGUGUUGAAAAACCAUGGGAUGAGCUGUGGGUAGGGGUGAUAUGCCAAUCGAACCCGGAGAUAGCUGGUUCUCCCCGAAAUGCAUUGAGGUGCAGCCCCGGUUGCAGCACGGCGGUGGUAGAGCACUGGAUGGGCUAGGGCGGGAGGACCCGUGCCGAACCCAACCAAACUCCGAAUGCCGUCGUGUGGUCGCCGGGAGUGAGACGGUGGGGGAUAAGCUUCAUCGUCGAGAGGGGAACAACCCAGACCGCCAGCUAAGGUCCCCAAGUGAUGGCUAAGUGGGAAAGGAAGUGGCAUCGCUAAGACAGCCAGGAGGUUGGCUUAGAAGCAGCCAUCCUUCAAAGAGUGCGUAAUAGCUCACUGGUCGAGUGGUGCUGCGCCGAAAAUCCAACGGGGCUCAAGCCAUCCACCGAAGCUGCGGAUCUCGCGCAAGGUGUCGUCCUGCGCGGGGUGGUAGGGGAGCGUUCCGCAGUAGGCCGAAGGCGGACCGUGAGGACCGCUGGACGAUGCGGAAGUGCGAAUGCCGGCAUGAGUAGCGAAAAGGCAGGUGAGAAUCCUGCCCGCCGUAAGGCCAAGGGUUCUUACGGAAGGUUCGUCCGCGUAAGGUUAGGCGGGACCUAAGGCGAGGCCGAAAGGCGUAGCCGAUGGACAGCCGGUCGACAUUCCGGCCCCGCGGCGCAUCCGUGACGAGCCAAGGGGGGACGCAGAAGGGUAGGCCUACCGGGUGAUGGUCGUCCCGGGCCAAGCAGGUAGGCGGAGGUGCCAGGCAAAUCCGGCGCCUCAUUCAACGCCGAGAUGCGAACGCGAGCUCAAGGGCAACCGCGAGCGAAGUGGCUGAGCCCACGCUGCCAAGAAAAGCCUCGUGGCCAGGAUGCCCGCGCCCGUACCGGAAACCGACACAGGUGGCCGGGCACGCAGAGUGCCAAGGCGCGCGAGAGAACCCUCGUCAAGGAACUCGGCAAGUUGACCCCGUAACCUCGGGAUAAGGGGUGCCUUCGAGCGUUGCCGGUUCGCGCCGGCCGCGCGAGGAGGCCGCAGUGAAUCGGCUCAGCCGACUGUUUAACAAAAACACAGGUCUCUGCUAAGCCGCAAGGCGACGUAUAGGGGCUGACGCCUGCCCAGUGCCGGAAGGUUAAGGGGACGGGUUAGCUGGGGUUUGCCCCGGCGACGCCCUGAACCGAAGCCCCGGUGAACGGCGGCCGUAACUAUAACGGUCCUAAGGUAGCGAAAUUCCUUGUCGGGUAAGUUCCGACCUGCACGAAUGGCGUAACGAGCUGAGCGCUGUCUCGACGAGGGACUCGGCGAAGUUGUGAGACCCGUGAAGACACGGGUUACCCGCAGCUGGACGGAAAGACCCCGUGGAGCUUUACUGCAGCUUGCCAUUGGAUUUGGUCUUACCAUGUAGAGGAUAGGUGGGAGGCGCAGAAGCGGGGGCGCCAGCCUCCGUGGAGCCACCCUUGGAAUACCACCCUUGGCAAGAUUAAGUCCUAACCGGCAUCCUCAGCGGGUGACGGGACAGUGGCAGGUGGGCAGUUUGACUGGGGCGGUCGCCUCCCAAACGGUAACGGAGGCGCCCAAAGGUCCCCUCAGCACGGUUGGAAACCGUGCGGCGAGUGCAAGGGCAUAAGGGGGCUUGACUGUGAGGCCCACAAGCCGAGCAGGGGCGAAAGCCGGGCCUAGUGAUCCUACGCCGGCAAGUGGAAGCGGCGUGGCUUAACGGAUAAAAGCUACCCCGGGGAUAACAGGCUGAUCUCCCCCAAGAGUCCACAUCGACGGGGAGGUUUGGCACCUCGAUGUCGGCUCAUCGCAUCCUGGGGCUGUAGUAGGUCCCAAGGGUUGGGCUGUUCGCCCAUUAAAGCGGUACGUGAGCUGGGUUCAGAACGUCGUGAGACAGUUCGGUCCCUAUCCACUGUGGGCGCAGGUGACUUGAGGGGAGCUGCUCCUAGUACGAGAGGACCGGAGUGGACGGACCUCUGGUGUACCGGUUGUCCUGCCAAGGGCACGUGCCGGGUAGCCAUGUCCGGACGGGAUAAGCGCUGAAAGCAUCUAAGCGCGAAGCCCACCCCAAGAUGAGGUCACCCACCGGGUAACCGGGUAAGUCCCCUGGGAGACUACCAGGUCGAUAGGCCGCGGGUGUACAGCCGUAAGGCGUAGCCUAGCGGUACUAAUAGGACGAGGGCUUGUCCUG